RNAcentral lists this ribosomal RNA (483 nucleotides) under uncultured bacterium. RNAcentral's name for it is "partial 16S ribosomal RNA". It matches the Rfam family "Bacterial small subunit ribosomal RNA", at positions 28 to 507 of the family's 1533-position model. The record is from RNAcentral.
GACGAACGCUGGCGGCGUGCUUAACACAUGCAAGUCGAACGCUGAAGCUCAGCUUUUGUUGGGUGGAUGAGUGGCGAACGGGUGAGUAACACGUGAGUAACCUGCCCCCUUCUUUGGGAUAACGCCCGGAAACGGGUGCUAAUACUGGAUAUUCACUGGUCUUCGCAUGGGGGUUGGUGGAAAGGGUUUUUCUGGUGGGGGAUGGGCUCGCGGCCUAUCAGCUUGUUGGUGGGGUGAUGGCCUACCAAGGCUUUGACGGGUAGCCGGCCUGGGAGGGUGACCGAUCACAUUGGGACUGAGAUACGGCCCAGACUACUGCGGGGGGCAGCAGUGGGGAAAAUUGCACAAUGGGCGCAAGCCUGAUGCAGCGACGCCGCGUGAGGGAUGGAGGCCUUCGGGUUGUGAACCUCUUUCGCUCAUGGUCAAGCCGCAACAAUGGUUGUGGUGAGGGUAGUGGGUAAAGAAGCGCCGGCUAACUACGUG